GAAGGAUCAUUAAAGAGUAAGGGUGCUCAGCGCCCGACCUCCAACCCUUUGUUGUUAAAACUACCUUGUUGCUUUGGCGGGACCGCUCGGUUCCGAGCCGCUGGGGAUUCGUCCCAGGCGAGUGCCCGCCAGAGUUAAACCAAACUCUUGUUAUUAAACCGGUCGUCUGAGUUAAAAUUUUGAAUAAAUCAAAACUUUCAACAACGGAUCUCUUGGUUCUCGCAUCGAUGAAGAACGCAGCGAAAUGCGAUAAGUAAUGUGAAUUGCAGAAUUCAGUGAAUCAUCGAAUCUUUGAACGCACAUUGCGCCCCUUGGUAUUCCGAGGGGCAUGCCUGUUCGAGCGUCAUUACACCACUCAAGCUAUGCUUGGUAUUGGGUGCCGUCCUUAGUUGGGCGCGCCUUAAAGACCUCGGCGAGGCCACUCCGGCUUUAGGCGUAGUAGAAUUUAUUCGAACGUCUGUCAAAGGAGAGGAACUCUGCCGAUUGAAACCUUUAUUUUUCUAGGUUGACCUCGGAUCAGGUAGGGAUACCCGCUGAACUUAAA
This 544-nucleotide unclassified non-coding RNA is filed under the name Metschnikowia sp. JSKim-2014. RNAcentral describes it as "partial contains 18S rRNA, ITS1, 5.8S rRNA, and ITS2". The stretch from base 193 to 346 matches the Rfam family "5.8S ribosomal RNA". The record is from RNAcentral. Lineage: Eukaryota; Fungi; Ascomycota; Pichiomycetes; Serinales; Metschnikowiaceae.